UACGUAGGGUCCCAAGCGUUAAUCGGAAUUACUGGGCGUAAAGCGUGCGCAGGCGGUUGUGCAAGACCGAUGUGAAAUCCCCGAGCUUAACUUGGGAAUUGCAUUGGUGACUGCACGGCUAGAGUGUGUCAGAGGGGGGUAGAAUUCCACGUGUAGCAGUGAAAUGCGUAGAGAUGUGGAGGAAUACCGAUGGCGAAGGCAGCCCCCUGGGAUAACACUGACGCUCAUGCACGAAAGCGUGGGGAGCAAACAGGAUUAGAAACCCGUGUAGU
This 272-nucleotide ribosomal RNA is filed under the name uncultured bacterium. Its description in RNAcentral is "partial 16S ribosomal RNA". It matches the Rfam family "Bacterial small subunit ribosomal RNA", at positions 524 to 794 of the family's 1533-position model. The record is from RNAcentral.